AUACAAUGAUGUGGACACCUCAUUAGCAACUCCUUGUAUCUUUCCCAAGCUUCAUACAAUGACUCUCCUUUCCACUGCACAAAAGAUGUAAUUUCUCCUCUUAGCUU
Small nucleolar RNA from Abrus precatorius (Indian licorice), 107 nucleotides. Lineage: Eukaryota; Viridiplantae; Streptophyta; Magnoliopsida; Fabales; Fabaceae. The record is from RefSeq and is a predicted model, not a curated record.